This is a long non-coding RNA of Odontomachus brunneus, 631 nucleotides long. RefSeq lists it as uncharacterized. The record is from RefSeq and is a predicted model, not a curated record. Lineage: Eukaryota; Metazoa; Arthropoda; Insecta; Hymenoptera; Formicidae. The transcript has 4 exons.
GUAUGUCAUGAGUGAACAGCGGAAGUUUCCUAGUCGUUUCGUAGUGGUUUUGACUAAAAUAGAUAUCAAGAGAGAUACAUAUAAUGCCUUCCUGCUGUGUAAGAAAAUGUUCCAACUCUUCGAAAAAGGGUUUUUCUAUGCAUCGCCUUCCACAAAAUAUGGAGCGAAAGAAGCAAUGAAUUGCGAAUAUUGGUAGGGAUUUCGACUUGUCCAAAAUAUAUUUUAUCUGCGAGGCACAUUUUCCAGCUGAGAUGUGGGAAAAGCCACGUAGUGAUGGCAAAAAGAAAUUAAAAGAGAUAGUUCCAACGAUUUUUUUGGACAACGGAUGUAGUCAAAAUAAAAAUGGUGCAACCUCUGUGCAAAUGACAUUGGUUCUGCUUCUUUACAUACUGAAGAUCAUAUUACUAAUAUUAAUAAUAUAAAUAAUGAAAAUUUCACCUGUAAUUCUAUCGACAACGUAAUAGAAUCGACAACGGACAAUAUUGAUGACAUCGAGAAAAUUAUGGAACAAUCAAAAGAAAUGAAAUUAAAACUUCAGCAAGCAAAUUUAAUUAUCAAUAAAUUAGAUAAGUCAAAGAGGAUGCUCAUAAAGCGUGUAAAAUGACUGAUGUACAGUAAUAGAAAAUUAACG